AUCCCUAAGAGAGUGCUACAACGAUGGAGGGUUGUGCGGGUAGGCAAGGGCUCUGUGUUUAAGCCGGUGGCUUCUGGAGCCCCGAUUCUUGGCUUUUCUGCUCGCUAGCUGUGUUACCAUGGGUAAGGUCCCCAUCCUCAAUUUCUCCAUCUGCAAACUGAAGAUGAUGACUUCUUAGUGUUGUGGACUCAUGAGAUAACGCAUGUAAGCAAGGGCGCAGUAGGUAUAGCUUUCAUUAUUUAUGAGAGAAAAACCGCUUCCCAGGUAAGAGCACAGAGACCCUAGAAAACAGGCACUGAAAGAGCAUUUUGGUUGUGGCCGAGCGGAGACAUGUAGCAGAUAAAGCUGAAGUAAACUGCAGGUCUUAAAUUUUGCAGGGCCUCGUGGGGAGGUUGGUCUUGAUUCCUGUAGGUGUUAAGAACCAUGAAAGGGCUUUGAGCAGGGGGUUUUAUAAGGAUCACUCAGCUGCUGCGUGGAGAAUUUGGGGGCGAGGGGAGAGGGAGGGUUGUUGCUAAAGGUAGAAUGAUGCUUAAAUAUUGUCGUACUCGAGGGAAGGGAAUGGUGGUCUGGUUGGAAGGGUGAUGUUGGAGGUGGACAAUAGUGGAUGGCUUUAAAAGAACAAUUCUGAGGGAGGGGGAUAAUGUUCUCUAUUGAGUAACUGCGUGAAUGUUGGUACCUUUCAGAGAGUGAUAGGAAACGCUGAAUGGGUGGAAGCUAUAGCGCCAGACGUACAGUUUUGCCAGGAAGCACCUCUGGAUCAGAUGGCCUGUAUGAAGUUUUCCCAGAGGUUGCUGAGGGCACAUGAGAAUGUAGAAUGUAGCCACCAUUUUGUACACGUGCUCAAUAAGCUUCUAAUGAAUCAGCAGUUUAAUGACCAAGGACCAGAAGAAUGUGAACUUCCUGGUCAUGUAUUCCACCCACAUGAAGCAUAACAAGGAAGGCUUGAGGAUAAGAUGGAUUGCCUUGUGAUGCCUUAAGAGGCGCUCGCGUCUUAGCUCCCGUGGCAUUUUGAGCUCAUUACCCUGGGCUGUGUGUGAAAUGUGAUGGAAUUAAGGACCAAGAUAAAUCGGAUAUCCUGGCAUCGACCUUUGCUGUUUCUGAAACUGAGAAAAAAAGAUUUGGUGUGCCAAGUUUCCUCAUCAGUCUGGUAUUUCACCUCUCAUUUUAAAUAAGGAGAUCUUCAGUAGAAAAUAUCCAUUUCUUGUUGGUACAUUAUCCAGUUGAAUCUCUUUGUUGAGGGAAUUCAUUCAUUCAACAAAUAUUUAUUGAAAGCCUGCACCCACCAGGCAGUAUUUUAGGUGCUCAGGAUAAAGUAAUGAAUAAAACAUACCGAACAUGGAACAACUUGGAUGAAUCUUCAAGGAAUUCUGCUAUAUGAAAAGAGCCAGGGAAAUCUAAAUAGUUUGUGGAUUGAAUCAAUGUCAACAUCCUGUUUAUGAUAUUGUACUAAAAUAUUACCAUUGGGGGAAACUGUGUAAAGUCCAUGUAGGAUCUCUUGUAUUACUUCUUAGAACUGCACUUGAAUCUACAAUUUUACCAAAAUUUUAAAUUAAAAAAGAAAAAACCUCCUGACCUGAUGGAACUUACA
This is a long non-coding RNA of Pteropus alecto (black flying fox), 1588 nucleotides long. RefSeq lists it as uncharacterized. The transcript is spliced from 3 exons. NCBI's taxonomy places the organism in Eukaryota, Metazoa, Chordata, Mammalia, Chiroptera, Pteropodidae. The record is from RefSeq and is a predicted model, not a curated record.